GGCGCUGUGGCUUAGUGAGUUAAAGUUCCUGUCUAGUAAACAGGAGAUCCUGGGUUCGAAUCCUAGCGGUGCCU
Scleropages formosus (Asian bonytongue) is the source of this 74-nucleotide transfer RNA. It matches the Rfam family "tRNA". From Rfam's summary of the family: Transfer RNA (tRNA) molecules are approximately 80 nucleotides in length. Their secondary structure includes four short double-helical elements and three loops (D, anti-codon, and T loops). Further hydrogen bonds mediate the characteristic L-shaped molecular structure. tRNAs have two regions of fundamental functional importance: the anti-codon, which is responsible for specific mRNA codon recognition, and the 3' end, to which the tRNAs corresponding amino acid is attached (by aminoacyl-tRNA synthetases). tRNAs cope with the degeneracy of the genetic code in two manners: having more than one tRNA (with a specific anti-codon) for a particular amino acid; and 'wobble' base-pairing, i.e. permitting non-standard base-pairing at the 3rd anti-codon position. NCBI's taxonomy places the organism in Eukaryota, Metazoa, Chordata, Actinopteri, Osteoglossiformes, Osteoglossidae. The record is from Rfam.